This 433-nucleotide ribosomal RNA is filed under the name uncultured bacterium. RNAcentral describes it as "partial 16S ribosomal RNA". It matches the Rfam family "Bacterial small subunit ribosomal RNA", at positions 29 to 507 of the family's 1533-position model. The record is from RNAcentral.
AACGAACGCUGGCGGCAUGCCUAACACAUGCAAGUCGAACGAGACCUUCGGGUCUAGUGGCGCACGGGUGCGUAACGCGUGGGAACCUGCCCUUAGGUUCGGAAUAACUCCCCGAAAGGGGUGCUAAUACCGGUUAAUCUCUUCGGACCAAAGAUUUAUCGCCUUUGGAUGGGCCCGCGUUGGAUUAGCUAGUUGGUAGGGUAAAAGCCUACCAAGGCGACGAUCCAUAGCUGGUCUGAGAGGAUGAGCAGCCACACUGGCACUGAGACACGGCCCAGACUCGGACGGGAGGAAGGAGUGGGGAAUAUAGGAGGAGGGGCGAAAGACUGAUAAAGCAAUGCCGGGUGAGUGAUGAAGGCCGUAGGGUUGUAAAGCUGUUUUAGACGGGAUGAUAAUGACAGUAACGGGAGAAUAAGCACCGGCUAACUACGUG